GGAUGGAUCAUUACCAAAGAACAACUCUCUUGGAGUCCUGUGAACCGUUUUUGUGGUCAGUGUUUUUUUCACUCAAUUUUUUGGGUGAGGGACGCGCUGGCUGCUCCAAACACAAAUGUAUACCACAAAACAGAGUCACUUUAGCUUAAAACUAAAGACAACUUUUAGCAACGGAUCUCUUGGCUCUCGCAACGAUGAAGAACGCAGCGAAAUGCGAUAAGUAAUGUGAAUUGCAGGCACCGUGAAUCAUUAAAUCUUUGAACGCACAUUGCACUGUCUGGAAUUCCGGACAGUAUGCCUGUUUGAGUAUCAGUAAACACUCUCCAAGGUCUUGCCUUUUUGGGCGGCCUUUGAGGACUUGAGUUUUCGUUUGGUACCAACCAUUUGUUUGGUCUGAGCGUGACUUUAAAUUUAUCGCGCGUCCCUUGGUUCUCUGAGUCAAGUCUGACUGCCAGUGUUAAUGACCUCGGUCUUUCUCUGACAUGUCGGGCUUGAACCAUGGCCAGUACGGACGCGUUCACUGACACACUCCAGAGGGUCCUUAAAAAACCCUUUGACUUUGAUCUCAGAUCAGGCAAGAUUACCCGCUGAACUUAAGCAUAUUAAUAAGCGGAGGAAAAGAAACUAACAAGGAUUCCCCCAGUAAUGGCGAAUGAAGCGGGAACAGCUCAAAUUUAAAAUCUCUUUGGAGAAUUGUAGUUUGUAGAAGUGCUUUCGAUGCCGGCCCAGGCAUAAGUCCCUUGGAAUGGGGUAUCAUAGAGGGUGAGAAUCCCGUCUUUGGUCUGGGUACCGGCACGAUGUGAUGCGCUUUCAAAGAGUCAGGUUGUUUGGGAAUGCAGCCUAAAGUGGGUGGUAUAUUUCAUCUAAAGCUAAAUACAGGCGAGAGACCGAUAGCGAACAAGUACCGUGAGGGAAAGAUGAAAAGAACUUUGAAAAGAGAGUUAAACAGUACGUGAAAUUGCUAAAAGGGAAACGAUUGAAAUCAGUGUUGGCUGCUGGAUACAGCCGGUCAGAAAUGGCCGGUUCACUUUCCAGUAGUCAGGUCAACAUGGGUUCUGCGUUGAGGUAAAUUAGCAAGGGAAGGUGGCUCCCUCGGGAGUGUUAUAGCCCUUGUGACUGCCUCGACUGGGACUGAGGACUGCAGUGCAUGCCUUUUGGCUGACAAAGCAGGUGCUAGCUGUGGCAAGUUCGUGUAGCAGCGUGCUGAUGCUCGUCUUGUCACGGUUACCCACUUGUGUAGUACAAAUGCGCUUAGGAUGUUGACGAAAUGGUUUUAAACGACCCGUCUUGAAACACGGACCAAGGAGUCUAACACAUGUGCGAGUGUUUGGGUGGAAAGCCCAUACGCGAAAUGAAAGUGAAUGUAGGUGGGAUCCCCUUCAACAAGGGUGCACCAUCGACCGGUCUGGAUUUUUAAUGAUAGAUCUGAGUAAGAGCAUAUCUGUUGGGACCCGAAAGAUGGUGAACUAUGCCUGAAUAGGGCGAAGCCAGAGGAAACUCUGGUGGAGGCUCGUAGCGGUACUGACGUGCAAAUCGUUCGUCAAAUUUGGGUAUAGGGGCGAAAGACUAAUCGAACCAUCUAGUAGCUGGUUCCCUC
RNAcentral lists this unclassified non-coding RNA (1597 nucleotides) under uncultured fungus. RNAcentral's name for it is "sequence contains 18S rRNA gene, ITS1, 5.8S rRNA gene, ITS2, 28S rRNA gene". The stretch from base 561 to 1597 matches the Rfam family "Eukaryotic large subunit ribosomal RNA", at positions 1 to 961 of the family's 3401-position model. The record is from RNAcentral. Lineage: Eukaryota; Fungi.